CGUCGUGUUGUAACGCUUUGCGGUGGUGUCGAUCAAACCGGCAAAGCCGUCGGCGUAGUCCUGGCGGACCGGGUGCCAUCCUGCCGCGGCGCC
RNAcentral lists this transfer RNA (93 nucleotides) under Mycobacterium florentinum. RNAcentral describes it as "tRNA-Leu". The record is from RNAcentral. Lineage: Bacteria; Bacillati; Actinomycetota; Actinomycetes; Mycobacteriales; Mycobacteriaceae.